RNAcentral lists this ribosomal RNA (705 nucleotides) under Triticum aestivum (bread wheat). RNAcentral's name for it is "partial small subunit ribosomal RNA". The record is from RNAcentral. Lineage: Eukaryota; Viridiplantae; Streptophyta; Magnoliopsida; Poales; Poaceae.
AUGCGGCGGCUACUGGUCCACCUCGACGGCGACGGCCCUGGUCUAUCUCCUGGGCUCGAGCAACGUCACUCCCAAGCCUUGAAGGUCGUCCUCACUGUCGGGAGCAUCGGUGAAGCAGAGAGGACGGAGAGCGCGCACCUGUCGCUGAGGCGUGGAUGGGAUGGUGCUGCUCCGCCGUGGUAUAGCACUCUAGCUGGUGGUGGCCGGUGUCGUGCUCGAGCGGGUAAGGUAGUCGGGGAAGCACCAUGGCGCUCGUCCAUCCGCUACUCCCCGCUGCCAGCCCAAGUAGCUCCCCGCCAUGGAGCUCCAUGGUUAGAAGCAAUCGCGGACACAUGGAUCUCGAGCUCAUCCUUGAUGGGAGGCAUAGCAAAGGAGAUCGUACUCGUGCAGGUGGGAGAAAGGACGACACUAGCAAGGACCGAGACGGCAACGUCCAUGCAGUGGCUGGCCAUGUCACUGCCAUGGUUCGGCGAGGGAGGAGCGCUCGAAGCGGAGGAUGUAGAGUCGUCACGGAGGCGCCGCCGGGAGUCGCGGCUACACAACCGCUGGGUCGCGCGGCAGGACAAGGAGGUGUUGUCGGACCGAGAUGACGACAUUCACGCGGUGGUUGGCCAUGGCGCUGCCGUGGUUCAAUGGUGGAGGAGGGCACAAGGGGGAGGAGGCUGGUUUAUUUUCCAGCCAAAGCGAUACAGUAUAAGGGUAUAA